RNAcentral lists this ribosomal RNA (205 nucleotides) under uncultured bacterium. Its description in RNAcentral is "partial 16S ribosomal RNA". It matches the Rfam family "Bacterial small subunit ribosomal RNA", at positions 29 to 229 of the family's 1533-position model. The record is from RNAcentral.
AACGAACGUUGGCGGCGUGGAUUAGGCAUGCAAGUCGAACGAAUCCCAUCUGGGUAACUGGGUGGGGGAAGUGGCGAAAGGGGCAGUAAAGCGUAGGUAACCUACCUCGGGGACGGGGAUAGCCUUCCUAACGGAUGGGUAAUACCCGGCGAUCUGGCGAGGGGACAUCCUCUUACCAGGAAAGGAGUUUCGCCUCGAGGGAGGG